RNAcentral lists this ribosomal RNA (468 nucleotides) under uncultured bacterium. Its description in RNAcentral is "partial 16S ribosomal RNA". It matches the Rfam family "Bacterial small subunit ribosomal RNA", at positions 28 to 507 of the family's 1533-position model. The record is from RNAcentral.
GACGAACGCUGGCGGCGUGCUUAACACAUGCAAGUCGAACGGAAAGGCCCUGCUUUUGUGGGGUGCUCGAGUGGCGAACGGGUGAGUAACACGUGAGUAACCUUCCCUUGACUUUGGGAUAACUUCAGGAAACUGGGGCUAAUACCGGAUAGGAGCUCCUGCUGCAUGGUGGGGGUUGGAAAGUUUCGGCGGUUGGGGAUGGACUCGCGGCUUAUCAGCUUGUUGGUGGGGUAGUGGCUUACCAAGGCUUUGACGGGUAGCCGGCCUGAGAGGGUGACCGGCCACAUUGGGACUGAGAUACGGCCCAGACUCCAACGGGAGGCAGCAGUGGAGAAUAUUGCACAAUGGGCGGAAGCCUGAUGCGGCAACGCCGCGUGCGGGAUGAAGGCCUUCGGGUUGUAAACCGCUUUAGCCUGUGACGAAGCGUGAGUGACGGUAAUGGGUAAAGAAGCACCGGCUAACUACGUG